UUCGUACUCUCUCCAUCCAAAAAUACUUGUCAUCCAAAUAGAUAAAAAUGAAUGUAUUUAGAAUUAAAAUACAUCUAGAUACAUUUUCUUUUAUCCAUUUUGAUGACAAAUAUUUCCGGACGGAGGGAGUAUUAC
Molecule: non-coding RNA, 135 nt
Organism: Triticum aestivum (bread wheat)
Lineage: Eukaryota; Viridiplantae; Streptophyta; Magnoliopsida; Poales; Poaceae
Source: Rfam